CAGCAGCCGCGGGAAUACGGAGGAUCCAAGCGUUAUCCGGAAUCAUUGGGUUUAAAGGGUCCGUAGGCGGUCUUGUAAGUCAGUGGUGAAAGCCCAUCGCUCAACGGUGGAACGGCCAUUGAUACUGCAGGACUUGAAUUAUUGGGAAGUAACUAGAAUAUGUAGUGUAGCGGUGAAAUGCUUAGAGAUUACAUGGAAUACCAAUUGCGAAGGCAGGUUACUACCAAUUGAUUGACGCUGAUGGACGAAAGCGUGGGUAGCGAACAGGAUUAGAGACCCGAGUAGUCCCUGUCUCUUAUAC
RNAcentral lists this ribosomal RNA (301 nucleotides) under uncultured bacterium. RNAcentral's name for it is "partial 16S ribosomal RNA". It matches the Rfam family "Bacterial small subunit ribosomal RNA", at positions 509 to 807 of the family's 1533-position model. The record is from RNAcentral.